Non-coding RNA from Epinephelus lanceolatus (giant grouper), 582 nucleotides. NCBI's taxonomy places the organism in Eukaryota, Metazoa, Chordata, Actinopteri, Perciformes, Serranidae. The record is from RefSeq and is a predicted model, not a curated record.
UUUUGCUGUGCGGUGCCAUAACGUCCAGCUGCUGGUGUCUAGUUGUCUACUUCCACUGUCAAACAACUAGCUAGUACAUACUAACACAAUGGAUUUCAACGUGAAGAAAUUAGCCUGCGGUGCAGGAGUGUUUUUCACGCGAGCUGUCCAGUUCACAGAGGAGAAGUUGGGCCAGGCGGAGAAGACUGAGCUGGACGCUCACUUUGAAAACCUGAUGAGCCGCGCAGACUGCACCAAACUUUGGACUGAGAAAAUCUACAGACAGACUGAGGUCCUGCUGCAGCCCAACCCAAGUAUGCUAUAUAUUACAGUCCUAUCAUUAGAUGUGGAAAGAGUAUUCUACAGUUACAUUUCAAAUUGUUUUCAAGCAGUUCUGCUACCAUGCUGAUGUUUUCUAUAAUUUUAUAAUAGGUGACUGAUGAUAAAAGCAUCAUAAAGGAAAUAUCAGCUCAUGCAUAAUAAACCUUAAGCCAGUGUUGGGAAGGUUACUUUUGAAAUGUAUUAGAUUACAGAUUUAAAAUUACCCUGUCAAAAAUGUAAUCAAUAAAGUACCUAUUUUAAUGACUUCAUCAUGAAAUGUAA